UACAGAGGUCUCAAGCGUUGUUCGGAUUCAUUGGGCGUAAAGGGUGCGUAGGUGGCGCCGUAAGUCGGGUGUGAAAUUUCGGAGCUUAACUCCGAAACUGCAUUCGACACUGCGGUGCUUGAGGACUGGAGAGGAGACUGGAAUUUACGGUGUAGCAGUGAAAUGCGUAGAGAUCGUAAGGAAGACCAGUGGCGAAGGCGGGUCUCUGGACAGUUCCUGACACUGAGGCACGAAGGCCAGGGGAGCAAACGGG
RNAcentral lists this ribosomal RNA (253 nucleotides) under uncultured bacterium. Its description in RNAcentral is "partial 16S ribosomal RNA". It matches the Rfam family "Bacterial small subunit ribosomal RNA", at positions 524 to 776 of the family's 1533-position model. The record is from RNAcentral.